Molecule: ribosomal RNA, 1361 nt
Filed under: Issoca rezendei
Lineage: Eukaryota; Metazoa; Platyhelminthes; Tricladida; Geoplanidae
Also listed under: 1 other name
Description: SSU rRNA
Rfam family: Eukaryotic small subunit ribosomal RNA
Source: RNAcentral
UAAUUCUAGAGCUAAUAUUUCAUGAAAAUGCCGUGACUUCGGAAGCGGCGGAUUUAUUAGAUCAAAAUCAACCUGCCGCAAGGUGGUGAAAUUGAUGAAUCUGGAUAACUUUACUGAUCGUACGACCUCUGUGUUGACGACAUAUCUCUUGAAAAGGCUGACCUAUCAACUUUCGAUGGUAAGAUCAAAGCUUACCAUGGUUGUAACGGGUAACGGGGAAUCAGUGUUCGAUUCCGGAGAGGGAGCCUGAGAAACGGCUACCACAUCUACGGAAGGCAGCAGGCGCGUAAAUUACCCAAUACCGGCUCGGUGAGGUAGUGACAAAAAAUAACAAUAUGGGCCCUAGUGGUUUCAUAAUUGCAAUGAGAACAUUUUAAAUACUUUAUCAAGUAUCAAUUGGAGUAUAUGGGGUGUGCUCUUUAAUGGGUGCGCCUUUCAUAACCGACAAGUUUACUUUGAAAAAAUUAGAGUGCUUAAAGCAGGCUUAUGCUUGUAUAUUGUUGCAUGGAAUAAUGAAAUAGGACUUCGGUUUUAUUUUGUUGGUUUUCGGAACUGAAGUAAUGAUUAAAAGAGACUGCCGGGGACAUAUGUAUGCUGGCGUGAGAGGUGAAAUUCUAAGAUCGCCAGCAGACAAACUACUGCGAAAGCAUUUGUCAAGAAUGUUUUCAUUAAUCAAGAACGAAAGUCAGAGGAUCGAAGACGAUCAGAUACCGUCCUAGUUCUGACCAUAAACUAUGCCAACUGACAGUUAGUGAAGGUGGAUUAGUCGUCCUCACUAGAAGUCACCGGGAAACCUAAGUCUAUGGGUUCCGGGGGAAGUAUGGUUGCAAAGCUGAAACUUAAAGGAAUUGACGGAAGGGCACCACCAGGAGUGGAGCCUGCGGCUUAAUUUGACUCAACACGGGAAAUCUCACCCGGUCCGGACACUGUGAGGAUUGACAGAUUGAUAGCUCUUUCUUGAUUCGGUGGGUGGUGGUGCAUGGCCGUUCUUAGUUGGUGGAGCGAUUUGUCUGGUUAAUUCCGAUAACGAACGAGACUCUGGCCUACUAAAUAGUACGCUUGUGUUUAAUCGCAAGUGCCUUACUUCUUAGAGGAAUAAGUAGCUUUUAGCUAAAUGAAAUAGAGCAAUAACAGGUCUGUGAUGCCCUUAGAUGUCCGGGGCCGCACGCGCGCUACAAUGGCAGUAUCAACGAGUUUACUACUUCCUAGCUAGAAAUGGCCGGGUAAUCUUGUGAAACACUGUCGUGUCAGGAAUAGUGGUUUGAAAUUUUUCCACUUGAACGAGGAAUUCCUAGUAAGCGCAAGUCACUAGCUUGCGCUGAUUACGUCCCUGCCCUUUGUACACACCGCCCGUCGCUACU